CGGACGGGUGAGUAAUGUCUGGGAAACUGCCCGAUGGAGGGGGGUAACUACUGGAAACGGUAGCUAAUACCGCAUAACGUCGCAAGACCAAAGAGGGGGACCUUCGGGCCUCUUGCCAUCGGAUGUGCCCAGAUGGGAUUAGCUAGUAGGUGGGGUAACGGCUCACCUAGGCGACGAUCCCUAGCUGUCUGAGAGGAUGACCAGCCACACUGGAACUGAGACACGGUCCAG
This 231-nucleotide ribosomal RNA is filed under the name uncultured bacterium. Its description in RNAcentral is "partial 16S ribosomal RNA". It matches the Rfam family "Bacterial small subunit ribosomal RNA", at positions 99 to 334 of the family's 1533-position model. The record is from RNAcentral.